GUUGCUUGAAAACUCAGCAGCCCAGGUCCAUUAGCCAAACUCCGGCCACCGUGUUUAAGUCCCGGGUGCUCUGCGACAAGACCGACCGCCGCUAUGUGCCCAUGCGUGGCGGCAUCUUGAAGGGCAUACUACGGUGCCUCUGCUUCUCGAGGCGUCGUCAUGGAUCGUCGGAGAGGCGGAGUCUGAAGGUCUGCAUAAAGAAAGCAUGCUGAAUCCGGUUUCGUGUUCUUGUUGCUAGAUAUAUAUAUAUAUAUACACAAAUGCUUAUGUCCC
Molecule: long non-coding RNA, 273 nt
Filed under: Elaeis guineensis (African oil palm)
Lineage: Eukaryota; Viridiplantae; Streptophyta; Magnoliopsida; Arecales; Arecaceae
Description: long non-coding RNA (EGUI_LNC022505)
Source: RNAcentral